Molecule: unclassified non-coding RNA, 1264 nt
Filed under: Hevea brasiliensis (rubber tree)
Lineage: Eukaryota; Viridiplantae; Streptophyta; Magnoliopsida; Malpighiales; Euphorbiaceae
Source: RNAcentral
UUAUUUUUAUUUUUUUUAUUUAUUGUCAACACUAUCAUCACUAACACCCUGCCAACUCUGCCAGCCGCGGCCACCGCCACUACCACCCUCACCUGGCCACCACUACUACCACCACAUUGCUGCUACCACCACUGCCCCCACUCCCAUCUUGCCACCACUAUUGCUACCAUCACCCCCGCUUGGCCACCAACACCACUGUUUGGCCAUCGUCAUCGCCCCCACCACUACCAUUACCACCCCACAAUCACUUAGCCACUGUCAGUACCACCUUCUCCACCACCACUGCCCUAUUACCACUGUCGCCACCACUACUUGACCACUGGUUGUCAGUCCGUAGCCACUACCAUCACUACCACCACUUAGUCACCACUAGCAGCACCACAAGUUAGUUACCGCCACUACCACUUAGUGGGGGUGGUGAUAGUUGAAAUAUUAAUAAUAUUGAAUUAGAAUAAUAUCUAAUAAAAUAGCAUUAUAUAUUAAAAUUUCAUUAUUAAUUUGAUUGCAUUCCAUCGAUAUAUAUAUGUAAACAAACACGAGAUUGUAAUGGUAAUUACAUUUCAGUUUUGUUCUUCCAAAUAAAGUAAUGUAAUGCUUCACACAUUGCAUAAUAUUACAACUUUGAUUCCAUUACAUAGUUAAUUACAUUUCAUUACUCCAUGUUGUACCAAAUGUAGCCUAAUAGACUACUAUCCAACAUUUUGGCUUACUAAAUGUCUUCAUCCAGCUCUAUGUAUGUGCCUUUUUUUCCUUUUUCUCCUAUGCAUAUGUAUAGUGAUUGCUUCCAUAGGGAUUCGUAUAUGGUUGGAUGAAAUGUAUUCAUAUUCUUAAGGUAUCUGAUACCCCUUUAAAUCUGUAGUGCUGUUGACAUUUUCUUUUUGUUGUCAGUUUAUCCUGUGAUGGUUCUCGUUCUGAUGGUUAAAUUUUCUUUUGAUUCAUUGGUAUCCAUGGUAUUUCCUUAGUUACAGAGUUAUGCAAAGGGUUUUCUUCUCUAUGCUAUUUGGUCAGACCUGUCAUUCACCAAUACAGUUGGACUUCUCAACUAAAGCAUACUGUUGUCUUCCUUAUGAUGGAUGCCUAAUUUAACUGAUGAAUAUAAGUAUUUUGUUGCUGAUAUGCAUACUGAGAUGAUAAUUAUGUGCCGUUGCUUGUUUUCAGUGUUUUAGUUCAUAGUGGUGGUGUGCACGGUGGGCACUAUUAUGCAUAUAUCCGGCCGACCCUCGCAGAUCAAUGGUUUAAAUUUGAUGAUGAGCGGGUAACAAAG